UACAGAGGGUGCAAGCGUUAUUCGGAAUUACUGGGCGUAAAGAGCGCGUAGGCGGUUUGAUAAGUCUGAUGUGAAAGCCCUGGACUCAAUUCAGGAAGUGCAUUGGAUACUGUCAGGCUAGAGUACAGGAGAGGUGAGCGGAAUUCCUGGUGUAGAGGUGAAAUUCGUAGAUAUCAGGAGGAACAACAGAGGCGAAGGCGGCUCACUGGACUGUUACUGACGCUGAGGCGCGAAAGCGUGGGGAGCAAACAGG
RNAcentral lists this ribosomal RNA (253 nucleotides) under uncultured bacterium. RNAcentral's name for it is "partial 16S ribosomal RNA". It matches the Rfam family "Bacterial small subunit ribosomal RNA", at positions 524 to 776 of the family's 1533-position model. The record is from RNAcentral.